ACGCCCAUUUUACGUCGUGGUAAUGAAACCCCUGGAAUUUAGUGCAUGCCGUUGCUAGACGGAAGGGAGCACAUACAGUUUUGACCACACACACACUUUCAAACGCACAAACUUUCACACACACACCCACAAACACAAACAAACGCUCACGCGCAUUCACACAGAGAGCCGCAUACAUUCAUUCAUGCUUUAGCAUGACGGUUUGUUUUGUUUGUAAGUCAAGAUAUGUGGCAGUGUUUGACUUCUACGAACGGAAACUUACCUGAAAGGAAAUUUGUGAACUAUUGGAGUUUGCAACUGCAAUAAACGUAAACAUCUUCGGAAACAAGUAAGACUGUUCAUUUCAUUUACACCACAUCAGCCAGAGGACAGUGUGCGUCAGCUGGGUGCCUGUCUAACAACAUCUCAGAGACUUCAAGCAAUAGGCUUAGCCUCUACAAAGGGGCUUUAACAAAAGUAAAAUGUAACUUUUUUAACAGAAUUAAAAAAAAUGUUUUAAAAUUACAAGAUCAAUUAGACAAGGAUGUCCUCUUUCAGCGCUAUUAUAUUCCCUAGUCGCAGAACCUUUAGGGUUAGCAAUAAAACAAGAAACUAAAAUUAAAGGAAUAAAAAUAGAAGAAGAGGAGGAUGAAGGAAAAAUAUACCAGUAUGCUGAUGAUACAACAAUAAUAGUGAAGGAGAAAAAGAGUGUAAAAGAAGCCAUGAAAAAAGUACAAGAGUUUUGUAAGGGGACAGGAAGCAAAAUAAAUUAAAAUAAAACACAAUAUAUGAGGUUUGGUAAAGCAGAUAUUUUAACAGAUUGUUUCCAAUUUAGAGAAGUAGAAGAAAUAAAAUUUUAGGAAUUUUAAUUGGUAAAAAUGAAAGAAAAGCAACAGAAAAGAUGUGGUAUGAUCUAAUAAGAGGAAUAGAAUCAAGAAUAAAUUUCUGGAGGAUAAGAGAACUUUGCUUAAAGGGGAAAGCCUUAAUAUUAAAUGUUUUAAUGACAUCAAAGCUAUGGUAUAAAUUAUAUAUAACAGAAAUGCCAUGUUGGAUAGAAGGGAGAUUGAUAAAGUGUGUUUAAGAUUUUUUUAUGGGAGGGGAAACCCCUAAGAAUUGCAUACAAUACAAUAAUAGGAGCAGCAGAAGAAGGAGGGAUAGGAUUGAUUGAAUUUAAACAAAUGAAGAAUUUUCUUAGAGUCAAAAUGGUUAAAAAGCUUUUACAAGAGGAGAACUCAACAGAAUGGAAAAAGGUCAUAAAAUACUUUUUUUUUUAAAAAGUUGGCAAUUUUAACUUAAGAGAAGAUAUUCUUUGGUUUAAAAAUAAAAAAACCUGAAUGAUGGAAAAGUUACCAGGGUUUUAUCAAGACAUUUUAAGUGGUAAGUCAUUUUUUGACUUUUGCCAAGUUUUAAUUUAAGUGUUGAGGUGAAGUCUUUUGACUAAUUUGAUAUUCAAAACAUCCUGUGUUCAAAGACAAAUUUACUAUACCAUGCCACUGUCCAGAUCGGAAACUUGGCACAAGGAGUCACUGGCAUUGUCCUAAAUGUGCCAAAAUAAUAAGCAGAUCUGUAGAUUUUAAAACACACUUGCGUAAACAUGGUAGGCUAUUGUAAAUAUUCUAAAUCCUUUAAGCGUAAUGAGUGAAAAUGCAUUUUUCAACUGUAUAAUUCCCUUUCUCUGCAACUACAGGUCUGAUGGUGCCAACAACAACAUCUGAAUCACAUUGCUGUUGGUAGAAUGCUGCGCACUAUAGAAUCUCAUUCUGGGACUACAGUGCCACACAACACUUUGAGAAAAGCAUUCUAUCACUUCAGUGCUCUCAGGCAGUAUACGUACAGUUAUUUCUGUAACGCUGUGGACACCACCCAUCUGUGGUCAUUGCUGAUGCAAUCGGGAAGAUUGCCUUUGAUUUGCCAGAUAUCGGUGGCUGCUGCAGCAUGAACUACAAUUGAGGGCCAUCCUGUGAAAUAUUUAUUUAAGGUCCUCUUUGAAUUUGUUGGUUCACGUAAUGACUCAACAGAGUUUUUUAUCAUCCGAGAAAUGACAUUAGCGAUGUCAAUAAUGAGGACUGCCUCUGGGACACUUCUCGACCACAACAUAUUGACUCCAUUAAAUAUACAUGUUCAGUGGUUGCACAUGGAGAGCCAUCACGUCUGCAUUCUCCAGUGGCAUCCCCUCUGUCCUCUCCAGUGGCAUUGCCUCGGCCUUCUCCAGUGGCGUCCCCUCUGUCCUCUCCAGUGUCAUCCCCAUCAGCUGCAGUAGUCUCUAAACCAGAUGUUGAUCUCGAUUCAUUACUGCACAACAUGCAGAACUGGGUGGAUUUUACUUCAUCACCACCAUCAAAUCAAAUUAUUAUCACACCGGACAACAUCCUGGGAAGUGCAAUUCGUGCUUUUCGGCGCCAGUCGUUUGACCCAGAAAAAACUGGAUGUUGUAUUCAGAGAUGCUGAUGGUAUUGGAGAGGGGGCAGCAGAUGAGGGUGGUUCCACAAGAGAGUUUUUAACUUUAUUAAUGAAGGAGAUACAUUCCUGUGAGAUUUCUGAUGGUCCUGACUGGCAGAAGAUUCUUUCCUGCAAUUUGAAAGGAUAAAGUGUCCAAACACAGAGAAAAACUCCUGCUGAAGUGACU
This is a non-coding RNA of Danio rerio (zebrafish), 2605 nucleotides long. The record is from RefSeq and is a predicted model, not a curated record. NCBI's taxonomy places the organism in Eukaryota, Metazoa, Chordata, Actinopteri, Cypriniformes, Danionidae.